This 458-nucleotide ribosomal RNA is filed under the name uncultured bacterium. RNAcentral describes it as "bacterial SSU rRNA". It matches the Rfam family "Bacterial small subunit ribosomal RNA", at positions 340 to 786 of the family's 1533-position model. The record is from RNAcentral.
UACGGAAGGCAGCAGUGGGGAAUAUUGCACAAUGGGCGCAAGCCUGAUGCAGCCAUGCCGCGUGUAUGAAGAAGGCCUUCGGGUUGUAAAGUACUUUCAGUCGUGAGGAAGGUGUUAAGGUUAAUAACCUUAGCAAUUGACGUUAGCGACAGAAGAAGCACCGGCUAACUCCGUGCCAGCAGCCGCGGUAAUACGGAGGGUGCGAGCGUUAAUCGGAAUUACUGGGCGUAAAGGGCACGCAGGCGGUUAAUUAAGUUGGAUGUGAAUCCCCGGGCUUAACCUGGGAAUGGCAUUCAAGACUGGUUAGCUAGAGUCUUGUAGAGGGGGUGAAUUCCAUGUGUAGCGGUGAAAUGCGUAGAGAUGUGGAGGAAUACCGGGUGGGCGAAGGCGGGCCCCUGGGACAAAGACUGACGCUCAUGUGCGAAAGCGUGGGGGAGCGAAAACAGGGAUUAGAUACC